UCCCGCCUGCCCUGUGACCCACAGUUUAACGGCCGCGGUAUUUUAACCGUGCAAAGGUAGCGCAAUCAAUUGUCUUUUAAAUGAAGACCUGUAUGAAUGGCAUCACGAGGGUUUAGCUGUCUCUUUUUCCCGGUCAGUGAAACUGAUCUAUCCGUGCAGAAGCGGAUAUACCUCCACAAGACGAGAAGACCCUAUGGAGCUUUAGGCUCCCGCUAAUUGCAAAGAGCGGCUACUGCCCUAACUAUCGCAAUCUUAAGCGGAGCGCCUUCGGUUGGGGCGACCACGGGAGAUAGAAAAGCUCCCGAGAGGAAAAGGCCUUCGGCCUGGAGCUCAGAGAGACAUCUCUAAGCCACAGAAUAUCUGACCUUUAAUGAUCCGGCAUACUGCCGAUCAACGGACCAAGUUACCCUAGGGAUAACAGCGCAAUCCCCUCCCAGAGUCCAUAUCGACGAGGGGGUUUACGACCUCGAUGUUGGAUCAGGACAUCCUAAUGGUGCAGACGCUAU
This 506-nucleotide ribosomal RNA is filed under the name Spratelloides robustus (fringe-scale round herring). RNAcentral describes it as "partial 16S ribosomal RNA". It matches the Rfam family "Bacterial large subunit ribosomal RNA", at positions 1853 to 2565 of the family's 2925-position model. The record is from RNAcentral. Lineage: Eukaryota; Metazoa; Chordata; Actinopteri; Clupeiformes; Clupeidae.